GCACUGCUGAUGAGACCCAACUAGGUGAAAACAGCUGUCCAGUGC
Molecule: non-coding RNA, 45 nt
Filed under: Echinostoma caproni
Lineage: Eukaryota; Metazoa; Platyhelminthes; Trematoda; Plagiorchiida; Echinostomatidae
Source: RNAcentral